This is a long non-coding RNA of Homo sapiens (human), 1839 nucleotides long. Ensembl annotates it as DYNLRB2 antisense RNA 1. Its record names the gene DYNLRB2-AS1. Lineage: Eukaryota; Metazoa; Chordata; Mammalia; Primates; Hominidae. The record is from Ensembl.
GUACAGUGCACCUGUCCUGCAUGCCAGAAAGCUGGAGUUCCAUACCCCUGCACCCGACAGUCACUGGCUCUGGGCCUUGAGGCUCAGCAUAAAUAAACUCCCAGGCACCUGUGGUUCCCAUCUGUGCCUGUAAAAGGCUUUAGCAACCCAAGGGCAGUUGGAUGCAAAAAUACCCAAGGCCAGCAGAUGAACAUUGAGCAGGAAUAAACAGAAUACAAGGACAUCUGGGUGGAAGUCACCAGUGCCUGCACAUGGAACUAUGAAGAUCACCAUUUUUCAGAUUAAGAAACUGAGGCUCACAUUGUGAAAUAACACUCUCUGGAAAGCUGACUCAGAAAUUGGAAUGAGUUGUCUGUGGAUCCUGUAAGGAGCCUGGACAUGGUGAAGAGAAUGCCUUGACCAUCAGGAGACAGCUUAGCUUGUUGAAUCUUGAUCACUUCUUCUGACCGCUUUGGAUCUUAAAAGAACAAGUGAUGGGCCAUUGGUCACCAUAAAGAAGAACAUCAGCUCCUACAAACUCCUGCCCCCGCAGAGCUGCAGGCAUUAUCAGGCUUCAUCUAGCCUCUUCAUGGGGUGAUGGUUUGCUGGAAAGACAGACUUAAACAUGAUGCUAGCAUUUUGGAGUUCUAUGUCACAUUUUGGCACGACAUAAUUCUACAGGUCGAGGAGUUUCGCAGACAUAACUCCUUGGGAGCAGUGCCCAGGUCAAGAAAGAAAAUGUGGCCAAUGCCCCAGGAUCUUAUUUGGUCAUCCAGGCUGGACUGCAGUGGUGUGAUCAUAGCUCACUGCAGCCUCAAACUGCUGGACUCCAGUGAUCUUCCAGCCUCAGCCUCCCCCGGUAGCAAGGACUACAGGGUCCCAGAAGGAACCAACGCUGCCCACACCUUAAUUUGAGACUUCUGGCCUCUGAGAAAUGAGAAAGAGUCUCACUCUCUGUCGCCCAGCCUGGAGUGCAGUGGCAUCAUCUGAGCUCACUACAACCUCCGCCUCCCGGGUUCAAGCGAUUCUCCUGCCUCAGCCUCCUGAGUAGCUGGGACUACAGGCACGCGCCACCACGCCCAGCUAAUUUUCGUAUUUUUAAUAGACAUGGGGUUUCACCAUGUUGGCCAGGCUGCUCUUGAACUGCUAACCUCAAGUGAUCCACCAGCGUUGGCCUCUCAAAGUACUAGGAUUACAGUGCUAGGAGCCACCAUGCCCGGCCGCCUCUCUUUUCUUUUACACAUGAAGAAAAAGUGGUCAGAGAAGUUAACUUGGUCAGUGCCAAAAGCACUGGAAGUGAGUAGGACCAAGCUUUUCAUCUAGAUUUGUUUGUUAGACUCUAAAUCCAAAUUCACAACAAGAUCAGAAUAUGAGAAACCUAAGGAACAAAAUUCUAGGAAUCAUUUCUAGAAACUGUGGCUAUUGAAAAAGCACAGACCUAGGGAAUCAAAUUAUUUUCCCUGCCACCAGCACAUGGGUAGGCCUGUGACAAAUUCCAUGCUCUGGACCCCAGAUUCCUCAGUGAGAAUAGAAGGGGCUAGAGACAUCAGGGAAUUGGAUUUGGUGACUUUAAUACCCACUCAGCUCCAAAGCAUUCUUGAAUGAUGCACGAUUUAUGAAUAUAUAUAUUGAAAUUUACUGAUGGGUGAACAGCUCUCAACAUGAGAUUUUUGUUGUAUGCCUUAAAAAAGAUUAUACAUAAAUAUGCGUGUGUGUGUGUAUGUAUGUUUCGAUGUAUAUGAACCCAUGAUCUGAAAAAUGGCCACUGUGGCUUGUGGAAACCUAUUAAUCUCUGCUGUUCCACCCAACAUCCUCAGAGAAAAAAAUAAACAACUUUUUGAAAGUGCUGCCAUGGGGUCA